UGCGUCAGCAACACGAUUUGCGUCACGGCAUGUACUCAGAUGUUGCUGUUAAUUGAUCGGUUUUGGGUGCUCAUCGUCCG
RNAcentral lists this small nucleolar RNA (80 nucleotides) under Trypanosoma cruzi. Its description in RNAcentral is "C/D small nucleolar RNA (snoRNA)". The record is from RNAcentral. Lineage: Eukaryota; Euglenozoa; Kinetoplastea; Trypanosomatida; Trypanosomatidae.